Molecule: ribosomal RNA, 943 nt
Filed under: marine bacterium CS-83
Lineage: Bacteria
Description: bacterial SSU rRNA
Rfam family: Bacterial small subunit ribosomal RNA
Source: RNAcentral
CGUUGCCGGCAAGCUAACACAUGCAGUCGAACGGAUCCUUCGGGAUUAGUGGCAGACGGGUGAGUAACGCGUGGGAAGCUACCUUGUGGUAGGGAACAACAGUUGGAAACGACUGCUAAUACCCUAUGAGCCCUAUGGGGGAAAGAUUUAUCGCCAUGAGAUGUGCCCGCGUUAGAUUAGCUAGUUGGUAAGGUAAUGGCUUACCAAGGCGACGAUCUAUAGCUGGUCUGAGAGGAUGAUCAGCCACACUGGGACUGAGACACGGCCCAGACUCCUACGGGAGGCAGCAGUGGGGAAUAUUGGACAAUGGGGGCAACCCUGAUCCAGCCAUGCCGCGUGUGUGAUGACGGCCUUAGGGUUGUAAAGCACUUUCAGCAGUGAAGAUAAUGACAUUAACUGCAGAAGAAGCCCCGGCUAACUUCGUGCCAGCAGCCGCGGUAAUACGAAGGGGGCUAGCGUUGUUCGGAAUCACUGGGCGUAAAGCGUACGUAGGCGGACUGAUCAGUCAGGGGUGAAAUCCCGGGGCUCAACCCCGGAACUGCCUUUGAUACUGUCAGUCUUGAGAUCGAGAGAGGUGAGUGGAACUCCGAGUGUAGAGGUGAAAUUCGUAGAUAUUCGGAAGAACACCAGUGGCGAAGGCGGCUCACUGGCUCGAUACUGACGCUGAGGUACGAAAGCGUGGGGAGCAAACAGGAUUAGAUACCCUGGUAAGUCCACGCCGAUAAACGAUGAAUGCUAGAUUGUCAAGGUACCUUGCUAUUUGGGUGACGCAGCUAACGCAUUAAGCAUUCCCGCUGGGGAGUACGGUCGCAAGAUUAAAACUCAAGGAAUUGACGGGGGCCCGCACAGACGGUGGAGCAUGUGGAUAAUUCUAAACACGCCAUAAUCAUAACCUGACGUGAUAUUUGUGCCUACAAUCGGAAGACGGUGAGGUUCACUUCAG